Sander lucioperca (pikeperch) is the source of this 167-nucleotide long non-coding RNA. RefSeq lists it as uncharacterized. Lineage: Eukaryota; Metazoa; Chordata; Actinopteri; Perciformes; Percidae. The transcript has 3 exons. The record is from RefSeq and is a predicted model, not a curated record.
GGACCAAAAGGCAAAAAAAAAGUCAUGACAGAGCAGGUUCAGAGUGAUCAAAUCACUGAGGCUUCAGCGGAGGAGAUCCAAAAGUCCCUGAGUGGAGUGAAGCUGUCUGCUGAUCCACCCCAGAGUGAACUGGACACUCUCAGCGUGGACCAUGGUGGAGAGCAGGG